UACGUAGGGUCCAAGCGUUAUCCGGAUUCACUGGGUUUAAAGGGUGCGUAGGUGGGAAUGUAAGUCAGUGGUGAAAUCUCCGUGCUUAACAUGGAAACUGCCAUUGAUACUAUGUUUCUUGAAUUUUCUGGAGGUAAGCGGAAUAUGUCAUGUAGCGGUGAAAUGCUUAGAUAUGACAUAGAACACCAAUUGCGAAGGCAGCUUACUACAGGGAUAUUGACACUGAGGCACGAAAGCGUGGGGAUCAAACAGG
Molecule: ribosomal RNA, 253 nt
Filed under: uncultured bacterium
Lineage: Bacteria
Description: partial 16S ribosomal RNA
Rfam family: Bacterial small subunit ribosomal RNA
Source: RNAcentral